GGUUCGUUAGCUUAUUUGGUUAGAACGUCCUGCUAAUAACGCGAAAGUCACAAGUUUGAGACCUGGAUGGGCCA
Lupinus albus (white lupine) is the source of this 74-nucleotide non-coding RNA. NCBI's taxonomy places the organism in Eukaryota, Viridiplantae, Streptophyta, Magnoliopsida, Fabales, Fabaceae. The record is from the annotation of a GenBank genome assembly.